RNAcentral lists this ribosomal RNA (363 nucleotides) under uncultured marine eukaryote. RNAcentral's name for it is "SSU rRNA". It matches the Rfam family "Eukaryotic small subunit ribosomal RNA", at positions 614 to 977 of the family's 1831-position model. The record is from RNAcentral.
UGCAGUUAAAAAGCUCGUAGUUGGAUUUCUGUGGGGACGGAGCGGCCGGCCGCACAUCGCGGUUCGAGCUAGCGCUUUCCCUACAUCCUGCCGCGAACCGUGCUACCAUUAGUUUGGUGGCGCUGGGGAUCGGCUCGAUUACUUUGAGAAAAAUAGAGUGUUCAAAGCAGGCCACACGCCUUGAAUAAGUUAGCAUGGAAUAAUAACUAAGGACUUCGGUUCUAUUUUGUUGGUGUUCGGGACUGAAGUAAUGAUUGAUAGGGACAGUUGGGGCGGUCAGUAUUCCAAAGCGAGAGGUGAAAUUCUUAGACCUUCGGAAGACUAACAGCUGCGAAAGCGUUCCGCAAGGAUGUUCCCUUUGAU